GGAAGGAUGGCCGAGUGGUUUAAGGCGCUGCGUUCAGGUCGCAGUCUCCUCUGGAGGCGCGGGUUCGAAUCCCGCUCCUGUCA
Ciona savignyi (Pacific transparent sea squirt) is the source of this 83-nucleotide non-coding RNA. The record is from Rfam. NCBI's taxonomy places the organism in Eukaryota, Metazoa, Chordata, Ascidiacea, Phlebobranchia, Cionidae.